CCCGCCCUUGCCCUCUUCCCUUUCUUUCCCCGCGCCUUUGUCUCCGCCUCGCUCCCCCUUUGUGUCUCUGGGAAGACUCGGCCUUAGAUACCAGCGACCCCCCACCCGGCCGGCUGUCGGUGACCCCACAGGCCCCCAGGACGCACGGCCCGCUGCCCUGCGGAGAGCACGUUUGGGGAAGAAGUGGCAGUGAGGCCGCCACCCUCACACUUGGCACCUUGCCCGCUCCUUUUUCCUUCCCCUAGCAGCUCCCCCUGUCCUCUUCAUCUCCAAGAAGGAGGACCUACUGUUGGCACUAUCACUUUGGCCUAAAGUAGUUUUUCUCCCCUUUCCGAAUGCAUAUUUGCGGAACAGAGCCACCCGCUCUGGCUGCUAAGAAGAGGCCAUUCAGCUGGUGCAGCAGCGCUGUAGGCUCCCUGCCUGGAGCCCAAUACGGAGCUUGAAGUCAUGACCCCGAGAUCAAGAUCUGAGCUGAGAUCAAGAGUUGGAUGCCUAACCGACAGAGCCACCCAGAUAUCAAACAGAAGCACAAGGUUGUUGAGAGUAUGAAGAAAGAGAAUUCUUACUGUGUAGAUUCCAGGAGGAGAGUAAACAUUGUUUUGAAGGAAUGGUCAUUUGGAAGAGUGUGUCCCUUAACCAGUAUGAGAUAGAGCAACUGGCAGAGCACGACAUAUGUUCAUCAGCUGUCUGGAGCUCAUGUAUUUGUAUACCAGCAAAGACCAGAAGGUCCAAAAGUAUGCACCUGAGAGUCAUGAGCAACAGCAGGUGAAAUCCAACUCGGCACGUAACUGUGGGCGAACCAAUCCAUUGCCUGGGCUGAGCUAAUCAGGCUCUGUCUUAUGGGGAUUUGAAAUUUGGACAUCAGUAAGAUGAGGGAGCUGCCAGAACUGAAAGUUUGUUCCAAGCAAACCGUGUUGAAAGCAGGGGAAGCCUACUGAAAGAGCGAGGUGAAGAAAGAAGAACAUGACUGAGACGAAAUGCAUGUAGAGGGAAUAACUCUGGUUUCUGGUUUUCCAGUUUCAGUUCUAAUUCCAACUUGGCCUAUAUCUCAUUUGUUUCCUGUCUGUGCUUCCCAUUCUCUUUAGGAUCGCCUGUUGCAUCUUUACAAUAAAAUUCUCUAUG
This is a long non-coding RNA of Zalophus californianus (California sea lion), 1122 nucleotides long. RefSeq lists it as uncharacterized. The transcript has 5 exons. The record is from RefSeq and is a predicted model, not a curated record. NCBI's taxonomy places the organism in Eukaryota, Metazoa, Chordata, Mammalia, Carnivora, Otariidae.